Aedes albopictus (Asian tiger mosquito) is the source of this 946-nucleotide long non-coding RNA. RefSeq lists it as uncharacterized. Lineage: Eukaryota; Metazoa; Arthropoda; Insecta; Diptera; Culicidae. The record is from RefSeq and is a predicted model, not a curated record. The transcript is spliced from 3 exons.
CACGCUCGUUGAAAACUACUCUCAAGUGAGUAAACUAUACUCACUUUCAAACUUUUGCUAAAUCUGUCAAAGCUGUUGUGAUGCAGUGAUUGAUCGUAGCCGUAUCCGAAAAAUAAAACAAGUUGCAGGAGAUUCUUGUGUGCCCAGCUGCAAGCCGGCGGAACACCUAAAAUCGAUGCUGAAAUGGAUCACAUUGCAGAAGCAGUGGACCCGGAAUCCUUCCGGCAACCAACAGGUGAGACGGGUGAGACUUAAAAAAAAUGUUAAUAACGACGCCAUUUGCCAACAUGUAAAAUUGUUAUUUAUUAUUAUUUAUUUAUUUUUAACUAAAAAUUUGGAAAUGUAAAAUUGUUGUCGCCGGUUAUAUGUCUGACGAGGUGGCUGAGCAGCGGAUCUGGAAUGCCACUUCUGGGAGGUACAUUUCCUUAACGCCAGUAAAACAGCUAAAAAUUCGUAUAUUCGGAAAGUGGGAGCAUCAUUGAAACUUAAGACAAGGACUAAAGAAGAAGAUUGAUGGAGCACCUGAGGUUUGAAAAGAACGUACGGUAACACCGCUUAUUCGUUGGGUAAAACCCAUGACUAACAACGGCGAAGAUUCGGCUGAUCAAGUGCGGUAGAUCCGCACAUAGCUUGCAUAAAUCAGCCAGGGAAGUUUAAAGUGUUUUUAUAACUUUAUUAUAAUGUUGUGUAACAUACAAUAAAUACUAUAGAAUAAAUAAAAAGUAAGCAAGAUAAAUGAAUAACAAUUCCAAAAGCCAUCCCGAGGAAUGUUUAUCUACUCACUUUCGCUAAUUUUGCUAAAAAUAAAAGUGAGUAAAUACUACUCACUUUCAACAAAAUCAAUGGUUACUCUAAAGAGAGUAAAUCCGCUUUACUCUCUUUUGAGCUGAUGCACUUUGUAAUGAAGUGAGUGGAAUUCUACUCACUUUAGAGUAGUUUUCAAUGA